AGCUUGCUCUCUGGGUGGCGAGUGGCGGACGGGUGAGGAAUACAUCGGAAUCUACUUUUUCGUGGGGGAUAACGUAGGGAAACUUACGCUAAUACCGCAUACGACCUACGGGUGAAAGCAGGGGAUCUUCGGACCUUGCGCGAUUGAAUGAGCCGAUGUCGGAUUAGCUAGUUGGCGGGGUAAAGGCCCACCAAGGCGACGAUCCGUAGCUGGUCUGAGAGGAUGAUCAGCCACACUGGAACUGAGACACGGUCCAGACUCCUACGGGAGGCAGCAGUGGGGAAUAUUGGACAAUGGGCGCAAGCCUGAUCCAGCCAUACCGCGUGGGUGAAGAAGGCCUUCGGGUUGUAAAGCCCUUUUGUUGGGAAAGAAAUCCAGCUGGUUAAUACCCGGUUGGGAUGACGGUACCCAAAGAAUAAGCACCGGCUAACUUCGUGCCAGCAGCCGCGGUAAUACGAAGGGUGCAAGCGUUACUCGGAAUUACUGGGCGUAAAGCGUGCGUAGGUGGUCGUUUAAGUCCGUUGUGAAAGCCCUGGGCUCAACCUGGGAACUGCAGUGGAUACUGGGCGACUAGAAUGUGGUAGAGGGUAGCGGA
Molecule: ribosomal RNA, 595 nt
Filed under: Stenotrophomonas maltophilia
Lineage: Bacteria; Pseudomonadati; Pseudomonadota; Gammaproteobacteria; Lysobacterales; Lysobacteraceae
Description: bacterial SSU rRNA
Rfam family: Bacterial small subunit ribosomal RNA
Source: RNAcentral